RNAcentral lists this ribosomal RNA (253 nucleotides) under uncultured bacterium. RNAcentral's name for it is "partial 16S ribosomal RNA". It matches the Rfam family "Bacterial small subunit ribosomal RNA", at positions 524 to 776 of the family's 1533-position model. The record is from RNAcentral.
UACGUAGGGGGCAAGCGUUGUCCGGAUUCAUUGGGCGUAAAGAGCGUGUAGGCGGCCAGGUAGGUCGGUUGUGAAAACUGGAGGCUCAACCUUCAGAGGUCGACCGAAACCAUCUGGCUAGAGUCCGGGAGAGGAGAGUGGAAUUCCUGGUGUAGCGGUGAAAUGCGCAGAUAUCAGGAAGAACACCCGUGGCGAAAGCGGCUCUCUGGAACGGUACUGACGCUGAGGAACGAAAGCGUGGGGAGCGAACAGG